Molecule: long non-coding RNA, 10300 nt
Filed under: Triticum aestivum (bread wheat)
Lineage: Eukaryota; Viridiplantae; Streptophyta; Magnoliopsida; Poales; Poaceae
Description: long non-coding RNA (TAES_LNC019470)
Source: RNAcentral
AUACAUGUUCCAGGGCCAACCCGAGAUUCCAUUCUACGGACGGGAACGGGAUCCGACGGAGAAAAGAAAACGGAACGCAUGAGCCCAGCACGACAGCACAAGACAUCAAUCAUUACUCGUUUCAUUCUUUAAUAAUGGAGCAGCACUAGCAGUACUACCAGUACAUUAAUCUUACAGAAGAAAAAAGAAUAGAAUAGAGAUUACAAAAAUCAGCCGAGGGAGCCACGGCACCGCCACAUGCGCGCCAGCCUUACUAUACAUACAAUUCCAUUUCCAUUGUGGGGGCAGGAGGAGGCACAGUAGUACCCUAAAAUACUACGUGCUCCACCGCUUAUUAUUGGUGUGGCGUGCCCCCGGUCCCUCCCCUGCGUGCAUGCAUCCCUAGGGCUCAACUUACACAUUUAACUAGCCCUGGGAGCAACAAUGGCUUAUUUACCAUAGUAUAACAGUAGUAGUAGUAGUAAUACACAAUUAAGCAUAUUAAUUUAAUUUAAUUAAUCCAAUUCCCAUUUGAGAACCCAGCACUGCCUCCGGAGCUACUUAAUUAGUCGGCCAUUUUUUGAUUUUUAGAGUGCAUUUAUAGAGCAGAUUUUCAGGCGCGUCUUUUAGUGGGCGCGCCUGCGGCGACCCCGGCGUCGGCCUGGGCCUGGGCCUUGGCCUUGUGCGCGGCGGCCUUGGAGCCGCUCCAGUUCCUGCCCUUCCUCUUGGGGUGCACGGAGCCGGGCGUGGACCGGGGGAUGAAGACGCCGGUGCCCUUGCUGCCGCACUGCUGCUGCUGCUGCUGCUGAGGUUGCUGCUGCCACGUUCUCCCGCCGUCGCCGGCGCCGUAGCUGGCGGCGUGGUGGAACAGCGUGUAGGCCGGUGGCGCCAACAUCGACGGCACAUGGGGCGCCAUGGACAUGGAGAAACCCUGGACGAUUCCGAAUCAAAAUCGCUAGCUGUUAGCUGCUGCACAUGAUGUGAUGCGAUGCGAUCGUGCAUGCAUGUAGUAUGCCCAAGCUUGAUUAUUAACUUGCUUAUUAAAAGAAAACUAAGAAAAAUCCGGUGGCCAAUGGCUGUAUAGCAGGAGGCGGCAACUAGCUAGUAAUUAAGGUUGCUACUGAACUCAUGGCAACUUGCGUGCAUGCAAAGAUUUCAUCUCAGCGCUAGCUACUCGAUCUUGUCACGUAGCAGGGAUUUUAUUCUUUAAAAAAGAAAAAAGAAAAAAGUGCUAGAAACAUCAUAUUUGUACGUAGAGAAAAGAAAAGGGGAGAAAAAAGCAAGCAUGCAGUACGAGUCGCAUGAUGAAGGGUUUGUGUGCAAGCAAUAUGGAGUAGAUAGAUCGGAGGCUAAGCAAAAGUCCAAAGCAACAUGGAUCACUUGGUCGUAUGCAACAUGAUAAGUGUCUGGACGAUCGAUUCUACUCCUCUACCCCUACUAGUUAAAAACAAUUGAUUCCUUGUCAAUCAUGCAGGGUGAGCAAUGACUGUGCAAGUACUAAUCGGCACCGUCUACGUACGUGCGACGGUAACUAAACUGAUUAACUAACCGGGCCGGGGGUUAAAAGUGGUAAUCUUUGGAGCGGUAAAGUACGUGGUAAUUACGCACCGCAUGUUGGCGCCAAGGGCGAGAGAUAGGGAGAGGGACAUGUGCGGCGACGACGCGGAUGGUCUACAGCCAUGUGUGCGUGGGGUUGCGUGGGGAGGGCGUACCUUGCAAGCUUCUACUUCAGGAAUGGCUAACGAGAGGGACAUGUUUCUUUCUCCGUGGUUCUGACCAUGAGUGAAUAUCACUAAGUGCACCGCACGUCUGACCCUUUCCUGGCUAAUUAGAGCGUCCGGGUUAGCAGAUCGAGCAGAUUAGUUGCUCUCUACUUGUUCCAUUCCUGCUCUCGCCGGGAAAGGUACUACUCCUGCUGGUUAAGGUGGUGCCAAGCUCACUUGAGAACUUGACACAACAAAGAGUGCUGCUCACACGCAAUUCUUUCGGAAUCGGUGGAAUUAAUGCAAUCCAAUCCAAUCCAAUCCGAUCCAAGCAGGUUCUUUAUUAGGCUUAAAUGUAAACAAAAAAAAGGGUUUGUCCGCCGUGGCAGAGGGCCUUGGGGCCCCACCCCCGGAGCAGGAUUUGGCAAUGGCAACUUGCGAAAAUGGUCAAUUUCACACAAAAGGUGUUUUGGUUUCCUCUAAAUGCACCGGCUCUCACACUGACGUGCGCACGAAAGGUACAUCCAUGCGCGCCCAUGUAAACUCCUGGAUGGCUGAUGCUUAUCCAUCAAAAAAUUCUGCGCGUAAACGAAAUUCUGCGCGUACGCUCAUGCAACUGGGCCAGCGACAGGCAGCCACUCGAUCCCCGGAUCCACGCCACGACCAUCUUAAUCAGCCAGUUAACUAACUAAUUCACUGCCCUGUAAGGCUGUAAGAACAACACAUAGCGCCUGGCGCACAUGAGGAUGCUAAGCAGGUAAUUAUUAGUGGGGCAAGGCGGUUGCUUACACUACUAACUGAAGAAGUCCUGGCAUGGUUGGAGAGACCACGAACGACAUGGCCGUUCAUGCAUAAGUUGCGUUGUCUUCUUCGGCUGUUCCGCUUUUAAUCAGGGGAGGGGAGGGGAGGGCGAGCAGAAAAGUAUGGUUUGGUGUGAUUUUGAUUUGAUUUGGUCGUGUGUGCAAGCGCAACCAUGUCAUGUGGCCGUGCUAGCCGCAACUAAUAACAGGUACCAAGUUGGUACUAGCGCCACCAACUAACUACCAAUCGAGUAGAGAAGCCCCUAGCCAGCCAGCCAGCUGCAAGAAACCCAACAGAAGCAGAGCUAACUAACUAAACCGAUCAAUCGAUCGAUCGAGCUCGGUAGCUCGCCACACACGACACGCAUGCCCGGCGGCGGUAGAAAUGGCAAGAUAGGAAGCAAAGCAGGAAGUAUGAAAGGGAUGGAAGGGCGGAGGGCUCACCGGUGGGAGGUGGACGGCGGCGGGGAACUGCGAGGCGGCGAAGUCGGCCUCGUCGUCGUCGGUGAUGAGGAGGGAAAUCCGCUUGCUGAGCUCCGCGAAGAAGAGGUCGUCGUCCAGCUGCAUCUCCACCUCCAUCUCGCUUCUCCUUGAGCUGUUGCGGGCCGAGCUUGCUUGCCGGAGCUGGAGCGGUUGCUUAGCAGCAGAGGACGGACGGAGAGGGGCGGCAGGGAAACAGAGAGGCCUGGUGAGCUCGGGCGCAGGGGGGCGCUUUAAUAAGAUUUUUCCAGGGCAAGCCGGGGUGGGGUGGGGCCGGUGGAGCAGUUGGCCAAUCCCUAGUUGGAAAGGUCGUGGGCCCCACGAAUGUGCGGGCGCCUGCCGCACACACAAUCUGGUCUCUGCGGUGAGGUGCGCCCCACAUCAUCACACGAAACAUAGGGGGCCCGCAUGUCAGUAAGGGGGCUGGCCUUUUAUUUCUCUAACCCGAAAGGAAAAGUAACUCUGCUCCAGGCACGAAUUGCGGAUGGAGACAGCUGCGAUCACGGUGACGAUGAGAGCAUGGUUAGUAUAGCCAGCUACUGGCUAUAAGUCAGUGCCAUGUUAUAUACAGCCCAUUUUAUAGCCAACAUGUAUAAUAGUAGAUUAAAAAAGUGUACUGCUUUGUUAUUAUGUGGCCUACCUUUCAUUCUCACAAAGUGUCUAGGAGCACGCGCUAGAGCUGUCUUUUUAUGAAGAGCCCGCUUACCUUCUCUCUACUAUUCUGUUUCCUCCAACUAAGCAGAAAUAUACUGGUUUAUUUCUUACAGCCCGCUGACUCAGCUCUAUUAUACUUGUUAUGAGCUACUGGAUCCACUUUAUCCGUUUCUGUUUCUGGCCAGGCAGACAGGGACGACGGUCGGAUGGGUUGGAUGGACGGCACUCCACGAUUUUCAGCCGUGAUAGUUCCUUCCUUCCUUCGUUGUCGAGCGAACGGUUCCAACACCGAAUCCAUCCGCACAGUGUUUUCAUUGGAUUGGAUCAUCGGAAUCCCAGGCAGGGAAUGAAGUCUGGAUCCGGUGACGCCCGCCAGGGCCGCCGGACGGGCGCAACUAAUCCUACGGCCUAUGUUUUCGCAAAAAAAUAAAAUCCUACGGCCUAUGGGAGGGAGAGAAAGUGACGGGUUAUUUAUUAUUAUUAAUUAAUUAUUAUAAGCGCGGCAUUAUCUUUGCUCCUGGAUGGAAUGGAAGGGAGGAGAGGAUGAGGAGGCUCCGGCGCCGAGUUGGCCACCGAAGCCAGCCGCAUCGCGAAAUCCGGGGGGCUUCACGACGGCACGCACCGCAUCGUCCGCUGGCUCUGCCCGCCUGCCCACAUGGCCACCAGGGUGGGGUGGGCUGCCGGCCGUCCUCUUCAGUCCCGGACGCCGGGCCCCACCCACGCUUUCCUUUCCUUUCUCUGCACCUGCGAACGAAUGAAUGAAUGACCGCAUCUGCAUCAGCAGGCUGUACUCUGAUGUGAUGAGCCCAGGCCGAGCUCAUCCAAACACAGCACGAUUCCCGAAAGGCUGGCCAUGUCGCGCAGCCGUCACGGUAGUCAAGCACGUCGCACUAAACAAGGCAUUUAGUACUCCCUCCAUUCCAAUGUAGUGCUUCCUCUAUCUUCAUGCUUCAACUUUGACCGUAAAUUUAACUACCAAGACCGAUUGCGGCGGGAGCAAAAAUUAUAUCAGUGAAUUCGUAUUCGAAAGAAGUUUUCAAUUAUGUAAUUUUUUCACCCGCCGCAGUCGGUCUCGUUCGUUAAAUUUAUGGUCAAAGUUCGACCUCGGGAAGCGCGGGCGCACUAUAUUUUGGAAUGGAGGGAGUACCAAGUACACCGCCAAAUCGCAUUUGGACUACCCACAAUGAUAGGUAGUAACAUCACACAUAUCUAGAUAAAAUAGAUGAUGUGGCAAGCAAUAAAUGAAGAAAAAAAGCAAAGUGGUAACAUAGCUAGUUACUAGUAGUAGUAACAUCACACAUAUCAAGGCAAGAUGUGUCUAUAGCCUAAUAAAUGAAAGGUUGCAUGUUAUCACAUAUAUGUUACUCCCCACUAUAGAGGUAGUAACAUAGACUAGUAACAUGACAUGUUACUGGUCUAUGUUACUACCUAUUGUGGCUAGUCUUAGGUGCUCGUUGGUGGCCGUCUCUACUGGUGUAAUGUAGUAAUAGACUAGUACUAGAACUGUACCACUACUGUUUUUCCAGCCGAGGUGGUGGUGAUCAUCAUCAUGGGAGUGGAGAGGGAGAGGGAGAGGGAGAUCCAUUCCGAUUACGAGGGCGGCAACAGUGGUUCCCAUCAUGGGCCUGGGCAGGGGUUGGCCGCUGCCCCUCGGUUCCUAUCCGAAACCCCCGGCCCCGGGGGAUUGGAUCGGAUUGGAUGAACCACCUAGACCUAGCCAGCCAGCCAGCGAACCGGCGCCGAUCAAAGGCAGCGCACGCUCCACGUCCGCCUCCUCCCACUGGGCUGGGCCGGGUGGGGGCGGCCGCCCGAGGCCACUCGCUCGCUUGCUGCUAUACGCAUUCUGUUUCCAUGUGCACGUUACGUUAACCUCCCUCCCUCCAGUCUCGCUGGGUGGAUGGCGCGUACGUACGGCCACGGGAGUACGGCGAGCCGUUUUUGGACGGGAGGGAGGGGUGGGGCGAACGACUGGUGAUGCCGCGCGCGUGCGCUUGUGUGGCUGCGCGCCGCCCUCCUCCCCCGGCCUGUGGGCGGGGCCGUUGGUCCGACGCCGACGUAGGCCUGGCGUUUGGAUGUUUGCGCGCCGGUGGCUCGUGUGGUGGAGUAACUUGCAGCGCCGACGGGCGACAACUAGGGGCUGGCCCGCCGGCAGCUGUGCACGUUGUGCGCAGGCUGUCAGUGACCAGCGACCAGCUUGGGCGAACGUGUGCGCCUUGCGGGUUGCGACUCGGCUGGCACUGGCAAGUUGCAACAUAGUACUAGUAUGUGGUACCUGCAAUCAGGGUCUGAGUAACAGUGCAUAUGGCUGCCUUGCCGCAUGAGCAGUCGGCAGAGUGGACUUCAUUCAGGCUGCUGCCAUGCCUACGUGAGCAGUAGAGCCCACGAGGUAUUUUUGUCAGCACGAGGGUUUUGCCGCAGAAUGUGAAGGCGGUGGGCGCUGCGUCGCCGAAUCUCUUGAAUCUUUUCACUGUUGAUUACGGUUCUGGCAGUGGGAGGGAACGGGGGUGAACAUCGUCAGAGACGGCGAUGCCCAGGGUGUCGAGCGAGUCCGUCCAACACAGGAUUCACAGGCAACCAAUACAUCGUAGUAUUAAUUUCAGUCCUCUUGCUCAAUCUCGCCAUCAGCCAACUGGGCUUCUCCAGGAUAAAUAAUAAGUGCAUGUUAUCAAAACAGGUUGCCGACACCAGUAGUAGUAGUGGCAGCAAAAAAUCCACACCAAUAUGUACACGGAUUCACAGGCUUUAGAUGCUUUUACAUGUUUGGGUACGCCCAAUCUCCGCCACGGCUUUACAUUUGUACUGUACAAUUCAUACUCGUAAUUCUCCAAAGACUCUGCCCGCUAACCAGAAACAAAAAGAAACUUCGGGAGCUGAUGAAGCCCCAUACACCAUCAUUUUUCAGCUUAUUAUUCACACAUCCUCAGCGUGAAGAGCAAACUGUCAAGCAGAAAAAAAAAAUUAGACAUUGUAUAAAAAAACAAUUACACGGAUAUCAUUUUUCAAGACGGUUUAAAUUCACUCAAUGUCUCUACAAUGUGAGAUAGUCAGACAGUUUUGGUUUCUUGGUCUAGAACUUUAGUGUGUCAAUAUAGGUAGGGAAUGCAAAAUGAUGCUACAACUUUGACGCUACCAAGUAAUUUGCUUUGUCAAGCCCUUCUGACCCGCUAACUGGCCCAGUAAAAGAUCCACCCCUAAUAUGUAGUUUCGAGUUCAGAUCCACCAAAUUAAAGGAAACAAAGGUAUUUCCUUGCAGUGAAAGAAUGUUGUAUGUACAAAAAGGUGAGCAAAAACUUACGGCUGAGUAAAGAAUUAGGUCUUUCAUGCAUUUGUACCCACUCUGGAAAGGAGUCUCUAAAUUCAUAGCUUCGUAUCAGCAAAUGCAGCAAUGGUGGGUCAGUAAGUUCGUAUGGAAGACAUCCCACCUUAUUUGUUGAAUUUUUAUAUGAAAUACUAACACCUGCAGCUACUUAAUGUGUAUCAUCAUCUACAAGUUGAUAUUCAUGGCAAAACUGAUGCGUCAAAUCAAGUCCAUAUAAAAUGACCAUAAAGCGUUUAAGCUGGUUCAAGCCCGCUAGUGAGCUUUACACAUCUUUCACCACAUUAACCUCAGCAGGGCCCUGACACUGAGCAGCGAACCAUGCGUUUGUUCAAUGGCUAACAAGAACAGGGAACACUUGGGUUGCAGUGGUGCACCACACAAUUAACCAGGCCUACAAUUCUACAAACCCAGUAACUGUGCUUUAAUUUAUGUGCUAAACCUAAAAAAAUUAGUAGGCUAUUCUACCAUAUAUAUUCGGAGAAACUUAGCCAGAGCAAGUCUAGUGUAUUACAGAACUAUAAAGUUAACACCACACAGAAAACAUGUGCAAUGUUGUAAAUUAACUCAAUAAAAGGCACGUGAUAUUAUGCAUUCGUAUAUGCAUUUUGAUGCUAUUUUCCUCGUAUCAAUUUUAGUACUACUUCUAGGUUCAUUUGGCAAAACAAAAAAAGUUGUCUCGGUUCUUACUUUCUUGAAGGGGAUAAUACUCUGCAGGCUGUGCACUGUCCUAUUCUUCAGUUUAUUCAGAUAAUUUCUACCCGAUUGAAAUUAUUAUGGUAAGAACAUUUAUCUAAUUUAGCAUCUGGUGGUCAUUUGAGUGUUUAACUGUUUAUGCACUGUGCACAUUACUGCCACUUCCGAUUAACCCAUGUCUGGAACAGCUAGCAGUGAAUGUUACAGAACUUCGACAAGGGUUGGUUUCGACGAACCAUGUCCUAGCUAAUAGCUAUACCUAGAGAACUACCAGAAACAUCAAACACACAUAGUUCAAGUGUCAAAAUGAUAGUGUUGAUAUUUAUUACUAGAUCGCAACCAACAACAUAACUAUGCACUUUGAAGACUGAUAUUAUUUAGAAAGAUAUGGACAAUAAACAACAGGAUGCAGCAACAACCAUACCAGCAUAGUCUUCCUUAUGGCUCAGCACUCCUAACUUUGAUCUCCAUUAGUUUCUCAACAGGCUGUCUGCAUAUGGGGCAUUUAUUUGAUUGGAGCCUUAGAGCUUGUGCACAUUCACUGCACAUACACUGUACAACAUAGGACCAAUCAGAUAACAACAUUAAGUAAUGUAAGUGAGAUCUGAGAAAGCAAAAGUAGAACUGCAGGCUACAAUUAGUUAUCUUACCAAAUGCCUGCAAGGAAAAACAGCAGUGUCCCUUGGCUCUGUCAGGCAGAUAACACAUUCUUUCCCCAUGCCAUCAUCGUCAGCAUCAGGAACGUCAGCUUCCGUGGAGUUGACAAUCCCAUAUAUUUCUUUCAGCUCAUAGCGCACACCAUUAAUCCACAAUAUUUGCUUGACAACUUUGACUUGAAGAUCGUCGUUAUGUUUCUCUAUAACAGCAAGUGUAAUUUGUGCCCGUGUGGGGUUUACUGUUUGACCACCUUCCUCUGGAGAUGGAGAAGCUUCCGCAUAAACUACCAGUGGGUAUACUUCCUCUGAAGGAUUUGAAAGCUCAUCCAGAGAAAAGAAUCCCAGAUCAAUACCAGAUCCAGAGGGCUGGACAUAAUUUUGAGCCAAUCCUUUCUGGAAAGGUAUCUUUGUUGGUGUCUGCAAGUCUGGGUACACUGAAGAAAAAUUGCAGUCUUUUCCUUCCUUGGCAAAGUAAUGUAUAACUAAACUGCAAUACACAAAAAUAAGUAUAAAUAUGGUCAUUAAACACUAAAGAGAGCUGGAAUAUUAAUCAGACUUGGAUUUUAUAAUAUUAACCACGCUUGAAUAUGAUCAAAACGACCAGAUACAAUUUCAUCCAGUAAAAUGGAUUUUGUAACUUGUAUAAUGAGUCAAUAUGUCAUGUACCCACGCGAACUAAUGUAAUAUGUUACACCUAUGCUACAGUAGUUCAAAAGGAACUACAAUUGCAGGUGAUGUACAAACCCGGCAUACAACAUUUUAACAUCUUAUAAAUUUUAAAUAACCCCUCCCUUUAGAGGGUUUCAGUUCAGAUUUAGUAGACUAAUCGAACAAUGCCUGUAACUCCAUCUUUUCUAAUCUAUCCUUCACGUUUGAUACAAAGGUGAAUAAGAAGUCAAUAAUUCAUGAGAUUGAAAAGCUACCCUUCACUGCUCAAAGAUUAAGAGCCUGUUUGGACUGCUCUACUCCGUAAAUUCCAGCUCCACUCUCAAAACCACAAUCCAAACGGGGUAUGAUGUCCCACUCCGCAAAAAAAACUCAAAUCUGGGGGACAGCUCCGUGUUUUUCGUGUAGCUCUUCAGGAGGUGCUCCAAAAACUCUAGUUUCAAGAGUCCUCAUGGAAUUGGGACACUGCCACUGGUAAGUGGAUAACGGUUUGUUUCUUUUUGCUGACCGGUACCCCACACACAGGCACCCCCUCCUUUUCCAUGUAUCCCUUCAUUCUCCUCCACAUCACGAACAGGGUACCGCUCCACACCCCUAGCCGCCACCGCCACGACGACAACGCUAGCGAGGCGACCACCGGAAUGGAUAGAUCCAGUGGCCCUCUUCCUCCCAACCCUGGUUUCUCAGCCCCCCUCGAGCCUCCGAGCCACGGCCCAGCGAGGAGGACCAUGGCUGCUCAAGCUUUGGCUUCGGCCGGGCACACCACCGGAACGGUCAGCAACGACCAGACUGCCGCCCCGGCAAAAUCUGGGGCACGACCUUUCCCACCAAAAUUUCGCAUUCUUGAAGCUGGAGCUAGCUAGAAGCCAAACUCUAUGGUGGAGCUGCAACUCCUGGGUGGAACUGCUCCAAACUGGAUUUGGUAGAGUGGAGCUGAUUUUGGAAGGGUGGAGCAGUCCCAAACAGGCUCUAAGCUUCACAUAGGUCAAGUUUGUAGUAUCCAAAAUUCCAACAAGAGUUCAGCCUAAAAUAUGUGCUGUAGCCCCCCCUAGGUGAACAAAACCCUACUAGUACAGGUCAGCAAGUAGGCAGUAGCUACACAAUUUAGACCAGGCAAAACAAAUCUAGCCCUGAUCUCAGCGUUGGAGACGGCCAAUUCUGACCUGCCGUCGGUGACCGCGUCGAAGGUGAAGGAGACGAGGCGGCGGUCAGGGUCGGCGGCGUCGGGCACGAGGCGGAUGGUGUCCUUGCGCAGGUUGAUGUCGUUCUUCACCUUGAGCGCCUGCUGGUGGCCGACGAACUCGGGCGGGGGGCCGGUGAGCGCGGGCAUCUGCGACGGCGGCGGCUGGG